GGAGGGUGCAAGCGUUAUCCGGAAUCAUUGGGUUUAAAGGGUCCGCAGGCGGUCUUAUAAGUCAGUGGUGAAAGCCUACAGCUCAACUGUAGAACUGCCAUUGAUACUGUAAGACUUGAAUUCGAUCGAAGUGGGCGGAAUAUGACAUGUAGCGGUGGAAUGCUUAGAUAUGUCACAGAACACCGAUAGCGAAGGCAGCUCACUAGGUCUGGAUUGACGCUCAGGGACGAAAGCGUGGGGAGCAAACAGGAUUAGAUACCCUGGUAGUCCACGCCGUAAACUAUCAAUACUCGUUCUCAGCCCUUCAGGGGUUGGGGACCAAGCGAAAGUGAUAAGUAUUGCACCCGGGGAGUACGAUCGCAAGGUUG
Molecule: ribosomal RNA, 368 nt
Filed under: uncultured bacterium
Lineage: Bacteria
Description: bacterial SSU rRNA
Rfam family: Bacterial small subunit ribosomal RNA
Source: RNAcentral